This 494-nucleotide ribosomal RNA is filed under the name uncultured bacterium. RNAcentral's name for it is "partial 16S ribosomal RNA". It matches the Rfam family "Bacterial small subunit ribosomal RNA", at positions 28 to 507 of the family's 1533-position model. The record is from RNAcentral.
GACGAACGCUGGCGGCGUGCUUAACACAUGCAAGUCGAACGGAAAGGCCUGCCUUCCCUUGUGGAUUGCGGGUACUCGAGUGGCGAACGGGUGAGUAACACGUGAGUGAUCUGCCCCCAACUUGGGUAUAAGCCUGGGAAACUGGGUCUAAUUCCCGAUAGGACUGCAGGGUGGUGCCUGUGGUGGAACACGAUUUUCUAGUGGUUGGGGAUGAGCUCGCGGCCUAUCAGCUUGUUGGUGGGGUAAUGGCCUACCAAGGCGGCGACGGGUAGCCGGCCUGAGAGGGUGGACGGCCACAUUGGGACUGAGAUACGGCCCAGACUCCUACGGGAGGCAGCAGUGGGGAAUAUUGCACAAUGGGCGGAAGCCUGAUGCAGCGACGCCGCGUGGGGGAUGACGGCCUUCGGGUUGUAAACUCCUUUCGACCGCGAGGAAGCCACCUGGUUGGAAGGGUGGUGACGGUAGUGGUAGAAGAAGCACCGGCUAACUACGUG